CGCGUUGACGUGUUCGUGGUUGCGAUGACGGCUUCGACGUCGGCCGACAUGGAAUCGCGAUGGCGAUCUGCUCUCUCGUUGCGACGUUGGCGUUCGCAUUCACGCUUGUUGGCCGACGUCGGGCUAGCUCCUCCUCUGUCGGUGGUACACGCUUUCCCAAAGAAGUAAAAAUGCGGUUUUCGGGUAUGUUUUCGGCCUUUCUUUCGUACUCGAAACGGCGACCGAAAAUGUGUACGAGAUACAAAGACUUUUCGGACGAUAGCCCGAAGCCGACCCGAACGCCGCCGAAUGUUUGAUUUUCGGCGUUUAAAACCGGUUUUUCGGUGCGGCAGACGUGGUCGGACCACAAAAGAAAAAAACAGCUCUUCCCCCUCUUCUGCCCUCGACAAAAUUAUAUAUUUUGCUGCUCUCACGCUUGCUCUCGCUAUCGCUUUUUCCAUGUACACCAUUGUUCACAUUUUUAAUUCGCUCGCUCUCAUGCAGGUGUACGCGUCAUUCUGUUUAACGCGCCUUUUCUUGUUCGUACUUCUUCUGGUGAAGUUGUCAUCCUCAGUGUUUUUUUCCGGUGCGUGUUUUUCUAUGGAAAGUUAGGAAGAAAGUUUUGGAUUAGAAGUUGAUUAUAUACAAUUAAAGUGUUACCUGUUCUGAAUCCUCCGCGUUACCCGUUGAGCUAUUGCAGCCUUGGUAUCGUGCUCCGUUACGAGAAAGGUUUUAUGAAGUGUAUUGUCAAUUUGUUUGUUGCAGCAAAAUGUUUAACCAGACCGGUGCGCAAGAAGAAGAGCGAGCAGAGCAAAACUCUAGUGCACUGAACAACCGAAAAAGUACAUCUCCGCAGUCUCCGAAAUGUUCUUGAAGAUCAGUGAUGCACUGGGAAGGUUAUUAAUCCCGCGCCAUAAUUAAACAUUUUAAGCGUUUUGGAAUUGCCACCCCUUGCUCCGCUUCAUUAUUCCCCUCCGCAAACGCCUACCAACUCUGGUGGUAUGUUUACGCAAGCGCUACGGUGGAGCUCGAAUGUACUAAAAUUUAAUUUAAAAUAAUAUAAACUAUAUGUCAUAAUGUUUCAGAAACCAACCCAUCUACUCAACAACCCUGUUCACGUAACAGUUUUUCGGUUCCGGCAGCACAAUUCGGUAUGUUUCAUCAAAGUAAAUAUUUUACAUUGUAUUUAACCUUAUAUCUUUUAUCAUUUCCUGUAAACGAUGACAUAAAUAACGAUGGUAGCCUCUUUACUAAUGGUAAGAAAAUUUACUGACAAAAUAUAUAAUUUUAUCCAUCACAAUGCUAUUUUACAUUAAUUAUUUGUAGCACCGAAAAAACAUAAAAUAUGCACUGAAUCGAAUACGACUAAUAAUGAGUUGAAAAUUCUAAUUGAGCAAUUCAGUGCAAAAUUACAAAAAAAAAA
Long non-coding RNA from Anopheles stephensi (Asian malaria mosquito), 1402 nucleotides. RefSeq lists it as uncharacterized. NCBI's taxonomy places the organism in Eukaryota, Metazoa, Arthropoda, Insecta, Diptera, Culicidae. The record is from RefSeq and is a predicted model, not a curated record. The transcript has 2 exons.